GACUAAGCGUACACGGUGGAUGCCCUGGCAGUCAGAGGCGAUGAAGGACGUGCUAAUCUGCGAAAAGCGCCGGCGAGGUGAUAUGAACCUUUGACCCGGCGAUGUCCGAAUGGGGAAACCCAGUGUGAUUCGUCACACUAUCGUUAACUGAAUACAUAGGUUAACGAGGCGAACCGGGGGAACUGAAACAUCUAAGUACCCCGAGGAAAAGAAAUCAACCGAGAUUCCCCCAGUAGCGGCGAGCGAACGGGGAGCAGCCC
Molecule: ribosomal RNA, 260 nt
Filed under: Enterobacter hormaechei
Lineage: Bacteria; Pseudomonadati; Pseudomonadota; Gammaproteobacteria; Enterobacterales; Enterobacteriaceae
Also listed under: 4 other names
Description: partial 23S ribosomal RNA
Rfam family: Bacterial large subunit ribosomal RNA
Source: RNAcentral